UACGGAGGGGGCUAGCGUUGUUCGGAAUUACUGGGCGUAAAGGGCGCGUAGGCGGCGCGAUAAGUUGGGCGUGAAAGGCCCGGGCUCAACCCGGGGACUGCGCUUGAUACUGUCGCGCUGUGAGUCCGGGAGAGGAUGGCGGAAUUCCCAGUGUAGAGGUGAAAUUCGUAGAUAUUGGGAAGAACACCGGUGGCGAAGGCGGCCAUCUGGACCGGCACUGACGCUGAGGCGCGAAAGCUAGGGGAGCAAACGGG
Molecule: ribosomal RNA, 254 nt
Filed under: uncultured bacterium
Lineage: Bacteria
Description: partial 16S ribosomal RNA
Rfam family: Bacterial small subunit ribosomal RNA
Source: RNAcentral